Molecule: ribosomal RNA, 373 nt
Filed under: uncultured bacterium
Lineage: Bacteria
Description: bacterial SSU rRNA
Rfam family: Bacterial small subunit ribosomal RNA
Source: RNAcentral
GUAGGUGGCAAGCGUUGUCCGGAAUUAUUGGGCGUAAAGCGCGCGCAGGCGGUUCCUUAAGUCUGAUGUGAAAGCCCACGGCUCAACCGUGGAGGGUCAUUGGAAACUGGGGAACUUGAGUGCAGAAGAGGAAAGCGGAAUUCCACGUGUAGCGGUGAAAUGCGUAGAGAUGUGGAGGAACACCAGUGGCGAAGGCGGCUUUCUGGUCUGUAACUGACGCUGAGGCGCGAAAGCGUGGGGAGCAAACAGGAUUAGAUACCCUGGUAGUCCACGCCGUAAACGAUGAGUGCUAAGUGUUAGGGGGUUUCCGCCCCUUAGUGCUGCAGCUAACGCAUUAAGCACUCCGCCUGGGGAGUACGGCCGCAAGGCUGAA